Molecule: unclassified non-coding RNA, 1061 nt
Filed under: Hevea brasiliensis (rubber tree)
Lineage: Eukaryota; Viridiplantae; Streptophyta; Magnoliopsida; Malpighiales; Euphorbiaceae
Source: RNAcentral
GUGCACUUGCCCCAUCUAUGAAAGCAUUGGUUGCACAAGUACUUUCUAGGCAUUCGAAUGUUGAUGUUAAAAUAGCAGUUACCUCUUGCAUUAUUGAGAUGAUCAGAAUAACUGCUCUAAAUGCUCCUUAUGAUGAUGAUCAUAUGAAGGAUUUUUUUCAACUAAUUGUGUCACCAUUCAAAAACUUGGCAAACAAGUCUAGUCAAUCAUAUGGCAAGAGAACUUUGAUUCUUGAAACAGUUGAGAGUUCAAUCAUGUGUGGUGAUGUUGGAUUUUGAAUGUGAUAUCUGAUAAUUGAGAUGUUCCAACAUUUCUUUAAUGAUAUAAGGGAUUAUCACCCGGAGAAUAUCUUGUCAUUCAAGAAGACCAUUAUGACCCUUGUAUUAGAAGAAAGUGAAGAUAUCCCUCUAGAAUUGCUUUCCCCUCUUUUAGAUAGUGUGAAAAAGAGCAUCACGGAAGUUCUACUUGUUGCUCGUAUGUUGGGAGAAAGAGUAAUUGAAAGUUGUGCUGAAAAGGUUAGACCUUACAUCUUGCUAUCUUUGGGUAUUUCUUUGGUGAUUAGAGAGAAAUAAUUGCUAUAUGCCAAUGUGACACUAUAUAAGAACAAAAAGUGCAUCUUAAAGAAUCCAAAAAUUUGGUUUUUGAGUCUUCAUACAUUGAGGAACUAGUUCUAGAAACACAUGUUUGAGAAUUAUCUUCUAGUGAAAGAAGCUGAAUUUGAUGAGAAUGAGAACGAGUAGCUUGAAGAAUCUAUCCUAGUAAACAAUGAAAAUCAAGCCAUAAAAACUUCAAUGGGUAUUGAAGAAAGUCAAGUCAUGGAGACCAAGGAAAUAAAAAAAAUUCCAAAUUCCCUUGUUCCCAAUGAUUUGAAGAGUCAUUCAACUUUUACUUGCGAUUAAUUUUCAGAUGUUUCUAAGGAUGCAAGAAAUGUGUGACGUUCUUCAUUUCGAUCUUAUUACCACCAUUCAAGAAGAUAAAGUUGCUUGUUUUUCGAAGAAGAUUCUUUAUUCUUCUGCAUUACAAGGCUCGAAGUCGGAUUUUCUCCAACUAGGGGAGAAUGA